CGUGCCGGGUCCUUGAGCCUCGGCCCUUUUCCCCGCGCGACAGCGGGGCGGCCUUGGAGUGGCUGACCGAGCGGCCCCUGAUGGGCUAAUUGGACCAGGGCCCACCGUCCGGGCGGUGACUCUGGGGCGGAGGAGAGUGUCCUGUGUUUGGCCUGGAACUGGGUUAGGCAGUUUCCACUUGUUGGUUCCAAAGAAUGUGAAGCUGAGGUGCAGGUGCACCCGCUUCCCCAGAUUGUGAGACUUGGAGGCCGGUAAUCACUCCCCUCCCGCAGCGGAACAGGUGUUAUUCCUGUCUUCCAGUUCUUGUGUUGAUCAGCAGAUAUUUAUUGAAUGUCUACCUAGCUAUGCAAGUCAGUGAGCCCAGUGAUGCGGAGUAUACAAAAACACCUGGCCCCAUUUCUGUUGUGCAGCUGGGGAGAAAAGAUGUAGUCACAUGAGAUCAUCAUUCAGUUCAUCAUGAUCUAAGCCCAAAAAACAGAACAAAACAAACAAAAACUUGCUUGGAUUGACCGAAUACAGUUAUAAAACGUAAACAUGGACAAUGAACCAGACCAUGAAAAUGUGGAACAUAGCCUCUGUGCCAAGACUACUGAUGAAGAACUGAAUAAGUCUUUCAAUCUGGAAGCUUCACUUUCAAAGUUCUCCUACAUAGAUCUGGACAAGGAACUAGAGUUCAGAAAUGAUCUGAUUGAUGAUAAGGAGUUUGAUAUUCCUCAAGUUGAUACUCCUCCAACACUGGAAAGCAUACUAAAUGAAACUGAUGACGAAGAUGAUUCUUUUGUUCUUGAAGAUCCUACAUUGUUAAAUAUUGAUACUAUUGAUUCUCACUCCUAUGAUACUUCGUCUGUGGCAAGCUCAGAUAGUGGCGAUAGGACCAACUUAAAAAG
This is a long non-coding RNA of Physeter macrocephalus (sperm whale), 887 nucleotides long. RefSeq lists it as uncharacterized. The transcript is spliced from 5 exons. The record is from RefSeq and is a predicted model, not a curated record. Lineage: Eukaryota; Metazoa; Chordata; Mammalia; Artiodactyla; Physeteridae.